UGGGGAAUUUUGGACAAUGGGGGAAACCCUGAUCCAGCCAUCCCGCGUGUGCGAUGAAGGCCUUCGGGUUGUAAAGCACUUUUGGCAGGAAAGAAACGUCAUGGGUUAAUACCCCGUGAAACUGACGGUACCUGCAGAAUAAGCACCGGCUAACUACGUGCCAGCAGCCGCGGUAAUACGUAGGGUGCAAGCGUUAAUCGGAAUUACUGGGCGUAAAGCGUGCGCAGGCGGUUCGGAAAGAAAGAUGUGAAAUCCCAGAGCUAAACUUUGGAACUGCAUUUUUAACUACCGGGCUAGAGUGUGUCAGGGGGAGGUGGAAUUCCGCGUGUAGCAGUGAAAUGCGUAGAUAUGCGGAGGAACACCGAUGGCGAAGGCAGCCUCCUGGGAUAACACUGACGCUCAUGCACGAAAGCGUGGGGAGCAAACAGG
This 429-nucleotide ribosomal RNA is filed under the name Acidobacteriota bacterium. Its description in RNAcentral is "Acidobacteria bacterium partial 16S ribosomal RNA". It matches the Rfam family "Bacterial small subunit ribosomal RNA", at positions 355 to 776 of the family's 1533-position model. The record is from RNAcentral. Lineage: Bacteria; Pseudomonadati; Acidobacteriota.